GUCUUGGUGGUGUAGUGGUAGCACGCAGCUCUGGUAAGGAUGAAACAUGAGUUCGACUUCCGCCUAAGGUCGACA
Parelaphostrongylus tenuis is the source of this 75-nucleotide non-coding RNA. Lineage: Eukaryota; Metazoa; Nematoda; Chromadorea; Rhabditida; Metastrongylidae. The record is from the annotation of a GenBank genome assembly.